UAAGGGCGACUGAAAAGGGAAGAGCCCAGCGCAAAGCCUCGCCGGCCUCGUUUCAAAGGUCGCGAGGGGUGCUGCGUUCGGGAGAGUUGUGUUGGACUCGUCCUUCCGGCUUGCACGCAUUCCCGCGCCGCCUAAGUUGUUCUUGAAUGACUCCAAUACCCAUGGAGGGUGUCAGGCCCGUGUGGCGGACGCAGACGACUUCUCCCGAGACCACCGUUCGCGGAGGACGAAGGAGAAGGGCGGGUUGUGCGGAAUGGCCCUCUCCCUAGAGUCAGGUUGCUUGAAAGUGCAGCCUAAAGCAGGUGGUAAACUCCAUCUAAGGCUAAAUAUGACCACGAGACCGAUAGCGAACAAGUACCGUGAGGGAAAGUUGAAACAGGACUCUGUAGAGAGAGUUAAAGAGAGCGUGAAACCGUCAAGGGGCAAACGGAUGGAGAGUCGAAGAUCGAACCGGGGGGAUUCAACCCGUCCGGUCCUGGGAGGGCGACGUUGGGCUCACAUGCGACCUCUAUGCCUUCGUGGCUUAUUAGGGGCGCGACCCGACGCCCUGCCCGGGACUGACGGGUGAUCUUCCCCCUGCAGUAGAUCGCCGCGAUCCGUUGGAGGGAUGUCUCAGAGGCCCGGAGAGUGACCCGAAAGGGUUACUGUUCCGUAGGAACCCGAGGCUCGCUUUGUCGGCCACCCCAGCCUCACGGCUGGCGGCCGGCAAGUUUACGGCGGGUACCAACUCGGGGGAUCCUUCGGUGUCCUCGUCUUGUUCCUCCGACGGUCAACUCCUUGGGGGCCUUGCAGCUGUCGCUGCUCGGCCUCUCGCGGUGUGCAAAGAGUCGAUGCUCCAUCCGACCCGUCUUGAAACACGGACCAAGGAGUCUAACAUGUAUGCGAGUCAGUGGGCUCUGUCUAAACCCACGGGCGCAAUGAAAGUGAAUGCCUCAUAGGGCCGAUCCCACGGUCGGCUAAUGGUGGCGGCGGUCGGUGAAGGUGGGCUGCGGCGGAUCGGAUGGGGAUCCAUAGCUGGCGGCGAAGGGCCGUAACGGUUGACGUUACCAGUGCUUGAACGCAACGCAGCCCCUGUCAAAGGGGGCGGCAAGAAAGCGACGUAGGUCUUCGGGCCUGCCGUUGCGGCCUCUCGCGUCUGUCACUACCUCGGACGCCGUCGCGCUAAAAGGCCCGCCAUCACCGGUCUCCCCGUCGUCACCACGACCGCAAUGCCUCUACGUGCGUGGAGGGGGGCGCAGGCCUGGGACUCUCCGUGACGAACGGCGGCCAAAACUCCUUCACGGGGGCGGAGGCAGCCGGAUGUGUCUGGGGAGUACCUCGAGCAUAAAUGUUGGUACCCGAAAGAUAGUGAACUAUGCCUGGCCAGGAUGAAGCCAGGGGAAACUCUGGUGGAGGUCCGAAGCGGUUCUGACGUGCAAAUCGAUCGUCAGAGCUGGGUAUAGGGGCGAAAGACCAAUCGAACUAUCUAGUAGCUGGUUCCCUCCGAAGUUUCCCUCAGGAUAGCUGGCACUCGCUCCAACGAGUUUCAUCUGGUAAAGCGAAUGAUUAGGGGUGUUGGGGGCGGAAUGCCCUCAGCCCAUUCUCAAACUUUGAAUGGGUGAGACGCCGGGCUUUCUUUAAUAAUGAAGCCCUGGACAAGAAUCGGAGUGCUUAGUGGGCCAAUUUUGGUAAGCAGAACUGGCGCUGUGGGAUGAACCAAACGUUCGAGUUAAGGGGCCAAAAUGAAUGCUAAAUGAUACCAUGGAAGGGAGCUGCUUGCUAUAGACAGCAGGACGGUGGCCAUGGAAGUUGGAAUCCGCUAAGGAGUGUGUAACAACUCACCUGCCGAAGCAAGUAACCCUUAAAAUGGAUGGCGCUUAAGCAUUCUCCCGAUACUCGACCGCCGGGGCACUACAGGCUGAAUCAAGGAGGUCUCGAGGCCCCGGCGAGUAGGAGGCGCGCGGUGGUGAGCGUAGAAGGAUUCGGCGUGAGCCGGUCUGGAGCCGCCACCGGUGCAGAUCUUGGUGGUAGUAGCAAACAUUCAAUCAAGGCUCUCCAAUUGUUGACCGAUGCGGAGAAGGGUUCCACGACAACAGCAAUUGGUCGUGGGUUAGUCGGUCCUAAGCCCAGGGAUAACCUCCCUUCUAACCGUCUCUUUUCUCGUAGUUGCAACAUCGUUGUUUCCCAACGAGACUUAAAGAGAAAAAGACGUUUGGGCGAAAA
Molecule: ribosomal RNA, 2202 nt
Filed under: Sergia sp. KC4548
Lineage: Eukaryota; Metazoa; Arthropoda; Malacostraca; Decapoda; Sergestidae
Description: eukaryotic LSU rRNA
Rfam family: Eukaryotic large subunit ribosomal RNA
Source: RNAcentral